RNAcentral lists this ribosomal RNA (253 nucleotides) under Roseburia faecis M72/1. RNAcentral describes it as "partial 16S ribosomal RNA". It matches the Rfam family "Bacterial small subunit ribosomal RNA", at positions 524 to 776 of the family's 1533-position model. Lineage: Bacteria; Bacillati; Bacillota; Clostridia; Lachnospirales; Lachnospiraceae. The record is from RNAcentral.
UACGUAUGGUGCAAGCGUUAUCCGGAUUUACUGGGUGUAAAGGGAGCGCAGGCGGUGCGGCAAGUCUGAUGUGAAAGCCCGGGGCUCAACCCCGGUACUGCAUUGGAAACUGUCGUACUAGAGUGUCGGAGGGGUAAGCGGAAUUCCUAGUGUAGCGGUGAAAUGCGUAGAUAUUAGGAGGAACACCAGUGGCGGAGGCGGCUUACUGGACGAUAACUGACGCUGAGGCUCGAAAGCGUGGGGAGCAAACAGG